Molecule: long non-coding RNA, 334 nt
Filed under: Malus domestica (apple)
Lineage: Eukaryota; Viridiplantae; Streptophyta; Magnoliopsida; Rosales; Rosaceae
Description: long non-coding RNA (MDOM_LNC006707)
Source: RNAcentral
UCUCCCUCACUCUCGAACGUACGGACAAGCUAGGAACCUCCCAUUUCUUCACGGAUCGAAGGUUCUAAGGUAAGAUUUGAACACCUAGUAAGCUUGUGAGUUAGUAUAUGUGAUUUUUGGAACUUAAAACCCUCAGAAUCAUCGUGAAACCAUAACCCCGAAAAUGUGCACUGUUCAUGCACACGUAAAAUCUUGCAUUUCAGGCAAUUUCAAGCUCACAUUGAGCUUAAGGAGAUCCUCACGAGCUUCGGGGUACUUCGUUGGUAGAAUUUGGACGUCGGAGGAUCAAGAUCGGAGUUUUUCAAAAUUGGCCGGAUUAUCGUGCUUCCUCAGG